This 106-nucleotide ribosomal RNA is filed under the name Ophion sp. MS13538. Its description in RNAcentral is "partial 5.8S ribosomal RNA". It matches the Rfam family "5.8S ribosomal RNA", at positions 50 to 154 of the family's 154-position model. From Rfam's summary of the family: 5.8S ribosomal RNA (5.8S rRNA) is a component of the large subunit of the eukaryotic ribosome. It is transcribed by RNA polymerase I as part of the 45S precursor that also contains 18S and 28S rRNA. Functionally, it is thought that 5.8S rRNA may be involved in ribosome translocation. Lineage: Eukaryota; Metazoa; Arthropoda; Insecta; Hymenoptera; Ichneumonidae. The record is from RNAcentral.
UAAUUGNNNGUCAACUUGUGAACUGCAGGACACAUGAACAUCGACAUUUCGAACGCACAUUGCGGUCCACGGAUACAAUUCCCGGACCACGCCUGGCUGAGGGUCG